Molecule: long non-coding RNA, 1564 nt
Filed under: Paramuricea clavata
Lineage: Eukaryota; Metazoa; Cnidaria; Anthozoa; Malacalcyonacea; Plexauridae
Source: RNAcentral
GUCAUAUUUAAUUAGUGAAGGUUCAUUCAAACGUCGAUGGUUGAUGGUUCGAUAUAUAUAUAUACAGCUAAUUCAAAAAAGGUUGUCCUUUGCAAACCUAUACUUACUCUAAACCUUAAACCUUAAACUCUAAGCAUGCAAAGCCUAAUGGGCCGGGGCAUAACUAUUUAAUCAGUUUAGAGAUCAUAUAUGGGGCUAAAUAUCUCCUUAUGAGAACAAUUCAUUCACAAAAGCUGUAAUAUUCAACUACUAAGCUUGAAACUCAUAUAAAGCUAUAAUGAGUCGCUGGACCACAGUACAACCGAAGUACUUCACCCCGAAAUUCAGCUUUAGUUUUUAAGUUCCGAGUCUGAGAGAGUUGCUGCCUGCCUGCGCAAUUGUGGAUGUUGUGAGAGCUAUAUUGUUGGUUGUGGUCGUACUAAGCCGGUUACAGAUGAGCAAGUUUUCCGAUAUGACAAGUUUUAUAUGCUCGUCUGUGUAGGCAACCGUUUGCCAAUUUUUACUAUGACAAGUAAACGUCACAGAAAAAUUGGCAAAAUCAACAAAGAAAAUUAUUUGGCAAAGCAAUUUGCUCACGUACAUGCGGAUUAAUUGGCCAGCGAUCUAUAUUGCAUGUUCAUUGAUAGCUAAUCAGAUAUCGUGGCGGUCAUGCAGAAAAACAAAAACUUGCUACACACGUGCAAUCGACAAAGACUUGUCAUAUCGGGCCGUGGGCUGUUGGCCAAAAUUAUUUCGCUUCGUGGCACCCAUGUGGGAAAUACUUGGUUUGGGGUUUAUUUGAAAGGCAUAUAGGUACAUCACUACCAAAAAAAAGUUCCCAAGCAAAAAGUUGCCAAAUACCGGGAAAAUGGGUGAUCAAUGAUUAUCCUCUAUUAAAUUGUAGCCUAUUACAGCAAAAAAUGGGAAAUUUUAUAAUUCCAUUACUGAUAAAAAUGAGUUGCAUCAUCGGAAAACGUACAAAAAACCGCAUAUAAGACUUUUAAACAGUUUUUUGAUCUUUCAAAUAGUCUUUGAGUUAUUCGGCUAUUUUAAAUGUGAAAAUUCGGACCAAAAUGUCGCAAUAACGACUGGGUACUAGGUCAAAAAUGCGUUUUUGACAGCGUAUAACUCGAAAACAAUUUUAGGGACCGGUCAUUAUUUAUGGCAGGGGUGGGGGCCGAAGAGAAAGUAUAAUGAAGCCGGAAAAAAUCAUUACCCAACUUUUUCGAAACAAAAUUUCUAGCUACCCCACCGGUGGAAUGCCAGAAAAUUUUUUUACCCCACCCAAACCUAUUUUGUUGCAAUGUCAAAGGUUCAGACAUAAAAUAUGUAAUGAAACAGUUUAGUAUUUUGUAUGCGUAUUACUCAUCAAGGUACAAAAUUGCCCUUGCUGUUAGAGAGUAUCUGCUGUUAGAGAGUAAAUAAUAAUUAUUAUAGGGUGCUUUGACCACAGUGGACAUUAUAAUUAAAAGGGAAUAGGAUUGAUUGGUAAUACUUGUUUACCAAUAUCCCUUGCCCCUUAUUUCUUGUGGAGUAAUUAAAGCACACUAACAGUCAUGUCUUUAUAUUAUGGGUUACCCCUACA